RNAcentral lists this ribosomal RNA (831 nucleotides) under Acinetobacter junii. Its description in RNAcentral is "bacterial SSU rRNA". It matches the Rfam family "Bacterial small subunit ribosomal RNA", at positions 86 to 912 of the family's 1533-position model. The record is from RNAcentral. Lineage: Bacteria; Pseudomonadati; Pseudomonadota; Gammaproteobacteria; Moraxellales; Moraxellaceae.
CUUAUCUUAGCGGCGGACGGGUGAGUAAUGCUUAGGAAUCUGCCUAUUAGUGGGGGACAACAUUCCGAAAGGAAUGCUAAUACCGCAUACGUCCUACGGGAGAAAGCAGGGGAUCUUCGGACCUUGCGCUAAUAGAUGAGCCUAAGUCGGAUUAGCUAGUUGGUGGGGUAAAGGCCUACCAAGGCGACGAUCUGUAGCGGGUCUGAGAGGAUGAUCCGCCACACUGGGACUGAGACACGGCCCAGACUCCUACGGGAGGCAGCAGUGGGGAAUAUUGGACAAUGGGGGGAACCCUGAUCCAGCCAUGCCGCGUGUGUGAAGAAGGCCUUAUGGUUGUAAAGCACUUUAAGCGAGGAGGAGGCUACUGAGACUAAUACUCUUGGAUAGUGGACGUUACUCGCAGAAUAAGCACCGGCUAACUCUGUGCCAGCAGCCGCGGUAAUACAGAGGGUGCGAGCGUUAAUCGGAUUUACUGGGCGUAAAGCGUGCGUAGGCGGCUUUUUAAGUCGGAUGUGAAAUCCCCGAGCUUAACUUGGGAAUUGCAUUCGAUACUGGGAAGCUAGAGUAUGGGAGAGGAUGGUAGAAUUCCAGGUGUAGCGGUGAAAUGCGUAGAGAUCUGGAGGAAUACCGAUGGCGAAGGCAGCCAUCUGGCCUAAUACUGACGCUGAGGUACGAAAGCAUGGGGAGCAAACAGGAUUAGAUACCCUGGUAGUCCAUGCCGUAAACGAUGUCUACUAGCCGUUGGGGCCUUUGAGGCUUUAGUGGCGCAGCUAACGCGAUAAGUAGACCGCCUGGGGAGUACGGUCGCAAGACUAAAACUCAAAUGAAUUG